GACGAACGCUGGCGGCGUGCCUAAUACAUGCAAGUAGAACGCUGAAGAGAGGAGCUUGCUCUUCUUGGAUGAGCUGCGAACGGGUGAGUAACGCGUAGGUAACCUGCCUGGUAGCGGGGGAUAACUAUUGGAAACGAUAGCUAAUACCGCAUAAAAUUGAUUAUUGCAUGAUAAUUAAUUGAAAGAUGCAAUUGCAUCACUACCAGAUGGACCUGCGUUGUAUUAGCUAGUUGGUGAGGUAACGGCUCACCAAGGCGACGAUACAUAGCCGACCUGAGAGGGUGAUCGGCCACACUGGGACUGAGACACGGCCCAGACUCCUACGGGAGGCAGCAGUAGGGAAUCUUCGGCAAUGGGGGGAACCCUGACCGAGCAACGCCGCGUGAGUGAAGAAGGUUUUCGGAUCGUAAAGCUCUGUUGUAAGAGAAGAACGGGUGUGAGAGUGGAAAGUUCACACUGUGACGGUGUCUUACCAGAAAGGGACGGCUAACUACGUGCCAGCAGCCGCGGUAAUACGUAGGUCCCGAGCGUUGUCCGGAUUUAUUGGGCGUAAAGCGAGCGCAGGCGGUUAGAUAAGUCUGAAGUUAAAGGCUGUGGCUUAACCAUAGUAUGCUUUGGAAACUGUUUAACUUUGAGUGCAGAUGGGGAUAGUGGAAUUCCCAUGUGUGCGGUGAAAUGCGUAUAUAUAUGGAAGGAACACCGGUGGCGAAAGCGUCUCUCUGGUCUGUACUGAGGCUGAGCUCGAGAGCGUGGGGAGCCUACAUG
Molecule: ribosomal RNA, 765 nt
Filed under: uncultured Streptococcus sp.
Lineage: Bacteria; Bacillati; Bacillota; Bacilli; Lactobacillales; Streptococcaceae
Description: bacterial SSU rRNA
Rfam family: Bacterial small subunit ribosomal RNA
Source: RNAcentral